This 336-nucleotide ribosomal RNA is filed under the name Triticum aestivum (bread wheat). RNAcentral describes it as "partial small subunit ribosomal RNA". The record is from RNAcentral. Lineage: Eukaryota; Viridiplantae; Streptophyta; Magnoliopsida; Poales; Poaceae.
AUGAUUCUACCAGCGGAUUAUUUGGCUCCUGAUCUUAUCCGUUGCAUUGCAACAGAAUGUGGGGUUGAUAUCGAUGAGGACCCGGAAGCAAUGAUUAUUGAUCACAUUAAUUACGACUCCACUUUGGUUGAAGGUGAUCACACCUUGAUUGCUGGCGAUGAUCUGAUUCAGUCAGCUUUGUGGGCGAGAGCAUGCAUCAUGAUGUCACGUUGGUGUUUGCCUACAAGGAAGGAGUUGUUGAGCCGACUUUCCUGUACUUCGGUCAUGAGCUGGAAGUGGUCAAGUGUUAAUUUUUUGCUCUGGUCUAUGGUUGUAAUGUUGGUGUCGUAUUUUUAA